UCUUUGAUGGUCUAGUGGUCAUGAUUUCCGCUUGUCAUUCUUGAAUGAAAAGCGCGGGAGACCGGGGUGUAAGUUUAUCAUGUGACCUGUUAUUUUCGUCUGAUCUAACAUGGGAUGAACAGUCGAUUCCCCGUCAGAGAG
Non-coding RNA from Plenodomus lindquistii, 141 nucleotides. Lineage: Eukaryota; Fungi; Ascomycota; Dothideomycetes; Pleosporales; Leptosphaeriaceae. The record is from the annotation of a GenBank genome assembly.